AACGAACGCUGGCGGCAUGCCUAACACAUGCAAGUCGAACGAAGGCUUCGGCCUUAGUGGCGCACGGGUGCGUAACGCGUGGGAAUCUGCCCCUGGGUUCGGAAUAACAGCGGGAAACUGCUGCUAAUACCGGAUGAUGACGUAAGUCCAAAGAUUUAUCGCCCAAGGAUGAGCCCGCGUAGGAUUAGCUAGUUGGUGGGGUAAAGGCCCACCAAGGCGACGAUCCUUAGCUGGUCUGAGAGGAUGAUCAGCCACACUGGGACUGAGACACGGCCCAGACUCCUACGGGAGGCAGCAGUGGGGAAUAUUGGACAAUGGGCGAAAGCCUGAUCCAGCAAUGCCGCGUGAGUGAUGAAGGCAUUAGGGUUGUAAAGCUCUUUUACCCGGGAUGAUAAUGACAGUACCGGGAGAAUAAGCUCCGGCUAACUCCGUG
Molecule: ribosomal RNA, 433 nt
Filed under: uncultured bacterium
Lineage: Bacteria
Description: partial 16S ribosomal RNA
Rfam family: Bacterial small subunit ribosomal RNA
Source: RNAcentral